This is a non-coding RNA of Xylaria sp. FL0933, 90 nucleotides long. NCBI's taxonomy places the organism in Eukaryota, Fungi, Ascomycota, Sordariomycetes, Xylariales, Xylariaceae. The record is from the annotation of a GenBank genome assembly.
GGGCACAUGGUCUAGUGGUAUGAUACUCCCUUCGCAUACAAAAUUCAUGUGAUUUGGGAGGGGUCCGGGGUUCAAUUCCCUGUGUGUCCA